UUGUGACCAUAUCACAUUGAAACAGAAUUUCCCCUAUGAUUACUGAAGUUAAGCAAUGUCAAGCCUGGUCAGUACCUAGAUGGGUGACCACUUGGCAAUACCAGGUGCUGUA
This is a non-coding RNA of Acanthosepion pharaonis, 112 nucleotides long. NCBI's taxonomy places the organism in Eukaryota, Metazoa, Mollusca, Cephalopoda, Sepiida, Sepiidae. The record is from the annotation of a GenBank genome assembly.